AUGGGGCAUGGGCUUCAGGAGUAUGCAAGCAGAAAUGGAGGGAGGAAAAUGUGUAUUGAUUUUAUAGCGGGGAAAGUGAGACCUAUAGACCCAUUCCAAGCAGCAAAGCUUUCAUCUGAGUGUGGUAUUCACAUCAGGAGCAGAAUGCAUGUUGCUACGCACUGGAAUGACUAUGACAAAAGCCCACUCAAACAUGUUAUUCCCCAUGCUAUUAAAGAUAUCGCACUUAACUUUGAGAUGGAUAAGGAUGACAAGGUUGGGAAUGAUGUAUGCACAAAAGUAAUCCAGAAAGGUGUUCGACAACAACGCUACAGGUUAAAGAAGAAAUACUUCAAUGGUUAUACUUCUCAAGAAGCAUUAUCAAAAAAGCCAGCGAAUAUUACUCAUGAGAAUUGGACCAGCCUUGUCAAUAAAUGGUCUGAUCAAAGAAACAAGGAAAUAUGUCAAAUGAAUAAGGAAAACCGAGAAGCUGUGAAGCAUCACCAAAAGACUGGAUCUAUGUCUUAUGUUGCCUAUUUCAACAAACUUAAAAAAGACAAGUACAAUAAUCAGGAGCCAAGUCCCAUUGAAUUUUUCAAAGACACCCAUACAAAUAGCAAGACCGGUAGCAUGAGCGAGCCAGCACUUCUAGCUCAUAAUGUGAUGGAAAAGAAAAGGAAAACACAAUCAGAAGGUCAGCAGCCAUUAUCUGAUACAGCGAUUGUGGCUGAAGUUCUAAAGGAAGAAAGUGCCCAUAGCACCUUCCUUUCCAGCAUGGGGUAUGCAUCAAGAUCCGGAUCUGGGAGCUCUACUUCAUCAGCCUAGAUCAAAGUUUUAGAAGAAAGAAUUGAACAGAAGGAUAGAGAGGCAAGAGAUGCAGAUGUCAGGCAUCGAGAGGAGUUAGCCGCAAGACUUGAAGCACAAGAGAGAGCAUUUGAAGAGAUAUAAAAGAAGCAGCAAGAAGAAUUGGAAGCUCUAAAGAAGAUCCAACAAGUGAAGAAUGAAGCCUGGACAAAGAAGCAAAUGGAGACGAAUAAUCCGCUUGAUUUUCUCUUGAGGGCUCAAGCAACUCAGCAAGCAACUCAGCAGUCCCAGUCCAAACCAGAUGGUUCAUGA
This 1095-nucleotide ribosomal RNA is filed under the name Triticum aestivum (bread wheat). RNAcentral's name for it is "partial small subunit ribosomal RNA". Lineage: Eukaryota; Viridiplantae; Streptophyta; Magnoliopsida; Poales; Poaceae. The record is from RNAcentral.